This is a long non-coding RNA of Ostrinia nubilalis (European corn borer), 283 nucleotides long. RefSeq lists it as uncharacterized. The record is from RefSeq and is a predicted model, not a curated record. The transcript is spliced from 3 exons. Lineage: Eukaryota; Metazoa; Arthropoda; Insecta; Lepidoptera; Crambidae.
AUACAUAUGUCUUUCUUUCGGGUUUCGUGGACUGUGUGCGCUAGGCGCAUUUUGUAUCUUGAAAUAUCUAUAAAAUCCUCCAAGGAACGAGUUGUUUCUGAAAAGAUUAUUUAGUCUUUUGUAACUAAGAACAUGAGAGCUAAGUGGCGUAAGAAGCGCAUGCGAAGGCUAAAGCGUAAAAGGAGGAAGAUGCGUGCGAGGUCCAAAUAAAAUGGUACAUGGGUGGAUGUGUAGGGAAUACGACCUGCCGACGCUAAUGUAUCAAAUAAAAACAUAAAACCCA